This 555-nucleotide ribosomal RNA is filed under the name Turbo canaliculatus. RNAcentral's name for it is "partial 16S ribosomal RNA". It matches the Rfam family "Bacterial large subunit ribosomal RNA", at positions 1816 to 2597 of the family's 2925-position model. Lineage: Eukaryota; Metazoa; Mollusca; Gastropoda; Trochida; Turbinidae. The record is from RNAcentral.
CGCUCUCUGAAAAUCAUCUUGAAAAUUAUAAUAAAUAGAGAGUCGGACCUGCCCGGUGACUAUUAAUGUUAAACGGCCGCGGUACUCUGACCGUGCAAAGGUAGCAUAAUCAUUUGCCUUUUAAUUGAAGGCUUGUAUGAAUGGUUUGACGAGAACUAAGCUGUCUCCUCUUAAUUGCAUAAAAAUUAAUUUUUAGGUGAAAAAGCCUAUAUUUAAUUGAGGGACAAGAAGACCCCUUUGAGCUUUAGUAAUUUAGUAGAAAUUUAUAGUUUUAAAAUAGCUGUUUUGCUACAUUUAAUGAAGACAUUUUUUAUUAAAAAUCUUUAGUUGGGGCGACUAAGGAACAUAUAAAGCUUCCUUUAUGAAAGAUUAAAGAAAUCAGUCUAAAGUGAUCCAGUAUUUAUUGAUCAGAGGAAAAAGUUACCAUGGGGAUAACAGCGUAAUCUUUCUAGAGAGUUCUUAUCGAAAGAAGGGUUUGCGACCUCGAUGUUGGACUAAGAUAUCCUAGAGAUGCAGAAGUUUCUAACGGUUAGUCUGUUCGACUAUUAAAAUCUU